This 529-nucleotide ribosomal RNA is filed under the name Candidatus Dadabacteria bacterium. RNAcentral's name for it is "bacterial SSU rRNA". It matches the Rfam family "Bacterial small subunit ribosomal RNA", at positions 1 to 538 of the family's 1533-position model. The record is from RNAcentral. Lineage: Bacteria; Pseudomonadati; Thermodesulfobacteriota; Candidatus Dadabacteria.
AUGAAGAGUUUGAUCCUGGCUCAGAGCGAACGCUGGCGGCACGCCUAACACAUGCAAGUCGAGCGAGAAAGUGACUUCGGUCGCGAGUAAAGCGGCGAACGGGUGAGUACAACGUGGAUAAUCUACCCUAGGGUCUGGGACAACCCCGAGAAAUCGGGGCUAAUACCGGAUAAGACCACAGUAUCCGAGGAUACAGCGGUAAAAGAUUUAUCGCCUUUGGAUGAGUCCACGUCCCAUCAGGUAGUUGGUAAGGUAAAGGCUUACCAAGCCUAAGACGGGUAGCCGGCCUUAGCGGGUGAACGGCCACAUGGGGACUGAGACACGGCCCUGACUCCUACGGGAGGCAGCAGUGGGGAAUAUUGGGCAAUGGGCGAAAGCCUGACCCAGCGAUGCCGCGUGAGGGAUGAAGGCCUUCGGGUUGUAAACCUCUGUCAGGAGGGACGAUGGGACACUUGUGUCUUGACGGUACCUCCAGAGGAAGCCCCGGCUAACUCCGUGCCAGCAGCCGCGGUAAUACGGAGGGGGCAAG